CAAAGAUUUAAGUUGUUUACUGUCUGGUAGCCUCAUGUAACUGACCCCACCCCGAAAAUCCUCCUUUGUUUUUAGCUAUAGAUAAUAUUUAAGCUGUGGCUUCUGCCAUGUACUUAAUCCUGUUUGAUUCUUAUCUAAAAGUUAUAGGACCACCCAAUAACGAGACCCUACCAGCACUGAUACCAUUUUAACAACUUUUUUUACAUAUUCUUUCCUUUGUCUUGUAAAGAGAUAACUCACAUACCUAUGCCUUAAAUUUAGCCUUACUCUCCACCCAUGUUUGCAGCAGCAGCUCUGACUGCCCAUGGGUCCUGUCCCCAUGCUAUUCCACACUAUUCUCUAAAUAAAAGAGCACUACUGCCAGACCUUGAGACCCCAAGAAAUCUUUCUUUCGACUCCUCGGCUCACCGGCCCCGCAUCAGGGGGAGGCGACCUCAGGAUUCGAAUCACGUCCUCAAGUCUCUCGCCCUGAAAUUUCCAAAUGUUUGGUGUAGUUUGAUGUCAUUCUCUCUUUGUGCAGACAAGUCUCGUCCCAAUGUCUCCAGAUGGUUGGCCCCACAGAGGAAAAGGCAGCUUCUCUCUCCCACCAUCCACACGCUUUAGAUUUAUGGCAAAAACGGGCAAUUACUGCUCCUGCCCAGAGAGGAAAAGCCGCACCUAAAUCGUUGAGGGUUGAGUAGUAGGUGUGAGCGAGCAGCGUACCAGACCUAGGAGGCUUGUCGAACCAAUAAGCAGAGGAAGCGACCAAAGUAUCACGGACCAGGUCAUCCUUUAGUAUUGUGAGUGCACAUUUCUUGUUUCAGUGUACGUCGAUUUAAUCAUCCUUGGAUAGAAAUUAAACAGUUGUUGACUAGUAACCAGAAAUGCGAAGAAGAAGACAGUAAUUCAAAUACUGUAGACAGCUGCGGGGAAAGCGGCAAGGACUGUAAGUGACAGGCUCCGGCAUCGGUCGGAGACACGUUAGUGCUUUCAGGGGUUAAGUCUUCGGAACGAAGCCUGUAAGGACAGGUAACCCCGUGAGCGCGAGGCCUCCAACAAUAACGAUUUAAACGCUCCAAUCAGAAGACAGACGUUGGCAGAAUGGGGAAAGUGAUUCAACGGUAUACUGCUCCCCAGAGCCCCAGUUUAGGAGUGAGGAGAG
RNAcentral lists this long non-coding RNA (1141 nucleotides) under Equus asinus (donkey). RNAcentral describes it as "lncRNA (ENSEASG00005038325.1)". The record is from RNAcentral. Lineage: Eukaryota; Metazoa; Chordata; Mammalia; Perissodactyla; Equidae.